GGUGAACGCUGGCGGUAGGCCUAACACAUGCAAGUCGAACGGCAGCACAGUAAGAGCUUGCUCUUACGGGUGGCGAGUGGCGGACGGGUGAGGAAUACAUCGGAAUCUACUUUUUCGUGGGGGAUAACGUAGGGAAACUUACGCUAAUACCGCAUACGACCUACGGGUGAAAGCAGGGGAUCUUCGGACCUUGCGCGAUUGAAUGAGCCGAUGUCGGAUUAGCUAGUUGGCGGGGUAAGGGCCCACCAAGGCGACGAUCCGUAGCUGGUCUGAGAGGAUGAUCAGCCACACUGGAACUGAGACACGGUCCAGACUCCUACGGGAGGCAGCAGUGGGGAAUAUUCGACAAUGGGCGCAAGCCUGAUCCAGCCAUGCCGCGUGAGUGAAGAAGGCCUUCGGGUUGUAAAGCCCUUUUGUUGGGAAAGAAAAGCAGCAGGUUAAUCCCCCGCUGUUCUGACGGUACCCAAAGAAUAAGCACCGGCUAACUUCGUG
Molecule: ribosomal RNA, 492 nt
Filed under: uncultured bacterium
Lineage: Bacteria
Description: partial 16S ribosomal RNA
Rfam family: Bacterial small subunit ribosomal RNA
Source: RNAcentral